UAGUCCACGCCGUAAACGAUGGUCACUAGCUGUCCGGACUUAGGUCUGGGUGGCCAAGCGAAAGUGAUAAGUGACCCACCUGGGGAGUACGUUCGCAAGAAUGAAACUCAAAGGAAUUGACGGGGGCCCGCACAAGCGGUGGAGCAUGUGGUUUAAUUCGAUGAUACGCGAGGAACCUUACCAGGGCUUAAAUGCAUUAUGACAGGGGUGGAGACACCCUUUUCUUCGGACAUUUUGCAAGGUGCUGCAUGGUUGUCGUCAGCUCGUGCCGUGAGGUGUCGGGUUAAGUCCUAUAACGAGCGCAACCCCUGUUGUUAGUUGCCAGCGAGUAAUGUCGGGAACUCUAGCAAGACUGCCGGUGCAAACCGCGAGGAAGGUGGGGAUGACGUCAAAUCAUCACGGCCCUUACGCCCUGGGCCACACACGUGCUACAAUGGCAGGUACAGCAAGCAGCCACUGGGCGACCAGGAGCGAAUCUGUAAAGCCUGUCACAGUUCGGAUCGGAGU
This 507-nucleotide ribosomal RNA is filed under the name uncultured bacterium. RNAcentral describes it as "bacterial SSU rRNA". It matches the Rfam family "Bacterial small subunit ribosomal RNA", at positions 791 to 1304 of the family's 1533-position model. The record is from RNAcentral.